RNAcentral lists this ribosomal RNA (848 nucleotides) under uncultured bacterium. Its description in RNAcentral is "bacterial SSU rRNA". It matches the Rfam family "Bacterial small subunit ribosomal RNA", at positions 54 to 898 of the family's 1533-position model. The record is from RNAcentral.
CAUGCAAGUCGAACGGCAGCACGGACUUCGGUCUGGUGGCGAGUGGCGAACGGGUGAGUAAUGCAUCGGAACGUGCCCAAUCGUGGGGGAUAACGUAGCGAAAGUUACGCUAAUACCGCAUACGAUCUAAGGAUGAAAGCGGGGGAUCGCAAGACCUCGCGCGAAUGGAGCGGCCGAUGUUAGAUUAGGUGGUUGGUGGGGUAAAGGCUCACCAAGCCGACGAUCUAUAGCUGGUCUGAGAGGAUGAUCAGCCACACUGGGACUGAGACACGGCCCAGACUCCUACGGGAGGCAGCAGUGGGGAAUUUUGGACAAUGGGCGCAAGCCUGAUCCAGCCAUUCCGCGUGCAGGAUGAAGGCCCUCGGGUUGUAAACUGCUUUUGUACAGAACGAAAAGCUCUGGGUUAAUACCCUGGGGUCAUGACGGUACUGUAAGAAUAAGCACCGGCUAACUACGUGCCAGCAGCCACGGUAAUACGUAGGGUGCAAGCGUUAAUCGGAAUUACUGGGCGUAAAGCGUGCGCAGGCGGUGAUGUAAGACAGAGGUGAAAUCCCCGGGCUCAACCUGGGAACUGCCUUUGUGACUGCAUCGCUAGAGUACGGCAGAGGGGGAUGGAAUUCCGCGUGUAGCAGUGAAAUGCGUAGAUAUGCGGAGGAACACCGAUGGCGAAGGCAAUCCCCUGGGCCUGUACUGACGCUCAUGCACGAAAGCGUGGGGAGCAAACAGGAUUAGAUACCCUGGUAGUCCACGCCCUAAACGAUGUCAACUGGUUGUUGGGUCUUCACUGACUCAGUAACGAAGCUAACGCGUGAAGUUGACCGCCUGGGGAGUACGGCCGCAAGGUUGAA